RNAcentral lists this unclassified non-coding RNA (240 nucleotides) under rhizosphere metagenome. RNAcentral's name for it is "partial ribosomal RNA internal transcribed spacer region". The record is from RNAcentral.
GUUGGUGAACCAGCGGAGGGAUCAUUACAGAGUUGCAAAACUCCCAACCAUUGUGAAUCUACCUCACCGUUGCCUCGGCGGGUGGCCCCUCCCCCUCACCCGGGGUUUGGCCGCGCCGGCUCCCGGCUCCCGGGCCGCCGGCAAGCCCGCCAGAGGACCCGCAACUCUUAGUCAUCAUUGGCCUCUCUGAGUAACUUAUACAAUAAGUCAAAACUUUCAACAACGGAUCUCUUGGUUCUG